Molecule: signal recognition particle RNA, 301 nt
Filed under: Myotis brandtii (Brandt's bat)
Lineage: Eukaryota; Metazoa; Chordata; Mammalia; Chiroptera; Vespertilionidae
Description: Metazoan signal recognition particle RNA
Rfam family: Metazoan signal recognition particle RNA
About the family: The signal recognition particle (SRP) is a universally conserved ribonucleoprotein. It is involved in the co-translational targeting of proteins to membranes. The eukaryotic SRP consists of a 300-nucleotide 7S RNA and six proteins: SRPs 72, 68, 54, 19, 14, and 9.
Source: Rfam by way of RNAcentral
GCCGGGCGCAAUGGUGCGCGCCUGUAGUCCCAGCUACUCGGGAGGCUGAGGCUGGAGGAUCGCUUGAGCCCAGGAGUUCUGGGCUGUAGUGUGCUAUGCUGAUCGGGUGUCCGCACUAAGUUCGGCAUCAAUAUGGUGACCUCCCGGGAGCGGGGGGGCCACCAGGUUGCCUAAGGAGGGGUGAACCGGCCCAGGUCAGAGACGGAGCAGGUCAAAGCUCCCGUGCUGAUCAGUAGUGGGAUCGCACCUGUGAAUAGCCACUGCACUCCAGCCUGGGCAACAUAGCAAGACCCUGACUCUG